ACUGGCAUCCUCGGUGAGUACCGGAUAACUUGAAACAAUACUUGUCCAUCCCUAGUAAAAAACAUUUUUUAAAAAGUGCUCUUUUGGUGAAUAAAAAGCCAGAAAGCAGCUAAAGCGUGGACCAUUUAAUGUUUCAUAUAUUUAAGAAGGCCGAGUCACAGUCGACGGUGGAGCAACAAUCGUGAUCAACAGAACAAAAAAAGUGCCAAAGUUAAGUCAUUAUUCAUCAAAACAAAUUAAGAACAAACAAACCAUUCAAUCGAUGUAGAAAAAAAAAGAAGCUGAAGAGGUGAUGGAUAAAGACGGUGCUGAAUGUCUUCAUCAGUCUAAAAUGGUUAAACA
Long non-coding RNA from Hippocampus zosterae (dwarf seahorse), 342 nucleotides. RefSeq lists it as uncharacterized. The transcript has 2 exons. The record is from RefSeq and is a predicted model, not a curated record. Lineage: Eukaryota; Metazoa; Chordata; Actinopteri; Syngnathiformes; Syngnathidae.